RNAcentral lists this unclassified non-coding RNA (234 nucleotides) under Hevea brasiliensis (rubber tree). The record is from RNAcentral. Lineage: Eukaryota; Viridiplantae; Streptophyta; Magnoliopsida; Malpighiales; Euphorbiaceae.
GAAGAAGGAAAAACAAAAUUGGGAAAAUCAGAUAAGUCAAAAAGAACUGAACUUUGCUUUGUAUUCUUUAACUGUUUACUAGAAAGGUCAACUAAAUUCAUCAAGUGGUACAACAUCUUAUUUGAAAGGCAACGAUUUGGGAAAACCUCAAAAGCCUACUGUUUGGUUUAGCACUUUUUCACUAAGGGGGUUGUGGUUUUCAUAAGUUAUCAUCUUGAUGUCAAUUUUAGGUAA